GACGAGCACUGGCGGCGUGCUUAACACAUGCCAGUCGAACGGAAAGGCCCUGCUUUUGUGGGGUGCUCGAGUGGCGAACGGGUGAGUAACACGUGAGUAACCUGCCCUUGACUUUGGGAUAACUUCAGGAAACUGGGGCUAAUACCGGAUAGGAGCUCCUGCUGCAUGGUGGGGGUUGGAAAGUUUCGGCGGUUGGGGAUGGACUCGCGGCUUAUCAGCUUGUUGGUGGGGUAGUGGCUUACCAAGGCUUUGACGGGUAGCCGGCCUGAGAGGGUGACCGGCCACAUUGGGACUGAGAUACGGCCCAGACUCCUACGGGAGGCAGCAGUGGGGAAUAUUGCACAAUGGGCGGAAGCCUGAUGCAGCAACGCCGCGUGCGGGAUGACGGCCUUCGGGUUGUAAACCGCUUUCGCCUGUGACGAAGCGUGAGUGACGGUAAUGGGUAAAGAAGCACCGGCUAACUACGUG
RNAcentral lists this ribosomal RNA (468 nucleotides) under uncultured bacterium. Its description in RNAcentral is "partial 16S ribosomal RNA". It matches the Rfam family "Bacterial small subunit ribosomal RNA", at positions 28 to 507 of the family's 1533-position model. The record is from RNAcentral.